Non-coding RNA from Gossypium raimondii (Peruvian cotton), 140 nucleotides. The record is from Rfam. Lineage: Eukaryota; Viridiplantae; Streptophyta; Magnoliopsida; Malvales; Malvaceae.
UGUUAAAAAAUUUCACCUCCUUGUACUGUUAAAAAUUAGCUUGGCAAUAGUCGGAUAACAAUAUAAGACAUGUUACGUUUAUCUCAUGCUAAUAUAAAGGGAUUAGUUUUUAAUGGAACAAAGGGAUGAAAUUUUUAACA